Molecule: ribosomal RNA, 377 nt
Filed under: uncultured delta proteobacterium
Lineage: Bacteria; Deltaproteobacteria
Description: bacterial SSU rRNA
Rfam family: Bacterial small subunit ribosomal RNA
Source: RNAcentral
UAAUACGGAGGGUGCGAGCGUUGCUCGGAAUUACUGGGCGUAAAGAGUGUGUAGGCGGUUCUAUAAGUCGGGCGUGAAAGCCCCGGGCUCAACCCGGGAUGUGCGUCCGAAACUGCAGAACUAGAAUCUCGGAGAGGGAGGUGGAAUUCCAGGUGUAGCGGUGGAAUGCGUAGAUAUCUGGAAGAACACCGGUGGCGAAGGCGACCUCCUGGACGAUGAUUGACGCUGAGACACGAAAGCGUGGGUAGCAAACAGGAUUAGAUACCCUGGUAGUCCACGCCUUAAACGAUGGGCACUAGGUGUCGCGGGUAUUGACCCCUGCGGUGCCGCAGUUAACGCAUUAAGUGCCCCGCCUGGGGACUACGGCCGCAAGGUUA